RNAcentral lists this long non-coding RNA (547 nucleotides) under Marmota monax (woodchuck). Lineage: Eukaryota; Metazoa; Chordata; Mammalia; Rodentia; Sciuridae. The record is from RNAcentral.
GUUUGUUUAUGCUGCAUAUUGUUUUCCUUAUUUUCACUUAUGAUGUUUCCUUUUCCUGGGUAUUUACUGAAUUAUUGAUUCAGUUGCUUAUUGACUUUAUAGAUGUGUCUUUGUGAAUUCUUUGGGUUUAUGAUGAAGAUAAGUUUUUCCAAAGGAGGCCUGAGUGUUUUUUUAGGGUGGUGUCAUAUGAUGAUCUUGUAAUCAAGAAUGAUCAUUUUUUACAUUGAGGAAGUAUAAACUUUCCCUGAAAAUAUACAAGAAGACAGUUUCAUACUUACAAAUUCUUAGAAUAAAUUUGUGUACCACUUCAGUUUUCUCACUUUUUUACCAUAAUAUCUUUAUUAUGGUAGACUGCUCAGUUAUUCACAACUUUGUGUGUGUGUGUGUGUGCGCGCUAAAGCAAAUGAACAUGGAUUGUAUAAGGGAAGAUUUUUUGAUAAGAUAAUGGAGAACCUUAGGCAUGUUGCUGGAAGAGGAUCAGUUAUAAGCUUUAAGCUUUGAUUAUUAUCAUAAAACUCCCAAAGAAUCUUAAAACAAGUUUAAAAAC